UCCCUGGUGGCUCAGUGGUUAGGACUUUGCACUUUCACUGCUGAAGGCCAGGGUUCAAUCCUUAGCCAGGGAA
Molecule: non-coding RNA, 73 nt
Organism: Bos taurus (domestic cattle)
Lineage: Eukaryota; Metazoa; Chordata; Mammalia; Artiodactyla; Bovidae
Source: Rfam